Molecule: ribosomal RNA, 350 nt
Filed under: uncultured fungus
Lineage: Eukaryota; Fungi
Description: SSU rRNA
Rfam family: Eukaryotic small subunit ribosomal RNA
Source: RNAcentral
GUAGUCAUAUGCUUGUCUCAAAGAUUAAGCCAUGCAUGUCUAAGUAUAAACAACUUUGUACUGUGAAACUGCGAAUGGCUCAUUAAAUCAGUUAUAGUUUAUUUGAUUAUACCUUACUACUUGGAUAACCGUGGUAAUUCUAGAGCUAAUACAUGCUAAAAAUCCCGACUUCUGGAAGGGAUGUAUUUAUUAGAUAGAAAACCAAUGCGGGCAACCGCUUUUCUGGUGAUUCAUAAUAACUUUUCGAAUCGCAUGGCCUUGUGCUAGCGAUGUUUCAUUCAAAUUUCUGCCCUAUCAACUUUCGAUGGUAGGAUAGUGGCCUACCAUGGUUUCAACGGGUAACGGGGAAU